This is an RNA transcript of Patella vulgata (common limpet), 331 nucleotides long. RefSeq lists it as uncharacterized. The transcript has 3 exons. Lineage: Eukaryota; Metazoa; Mollusca; Gastropoda; Patellidae. The record is from RefSeq and is a predicted model, not a curated record.
UAUUUCCAAAAUGGCAGCGCCCAGAAUGUGCGCUUCUUUGCGGACAAAAUUAUUUGUAAACAGACAUUCCAGCUGUAGUUUUCAGGUUUUAAGAAAUGCUUUUUUCUGGAAGUCCGAUCAAGAAGAAAAAGUAGAAGAACAUGAACCAGUAGUAAAAACAAUAUCACGUCUUAAAUCUUCAAAAAUGCAAACGCAUUCCAGAUUAGUAAAAGGAUACAAACCACCAGAAAACCUAGAAGUCAAAGUAAAAGAAAUUGUUCAAGAGAUUUUGGGUGAAGUUCCUGAAGACGUGACAUCAUUACGUCUAAAUGAUAGAAAAAUGAAAUUCAAG